This 471-nucleotide ribosomal RNA is filed under the name uncultured Propionibacterium sp. RNAcentral describes it as "partial 16S ribosomal RNA". Lineage: Bacteria; Bacillati; Actinomycetota; Actinomycetes; Propionibacteriales; Propionibacteriaceae. The record is from RNAcentral.
CACGUAGUUAGCCGGUGCUUCUUUACCCAUUACCGUCACUCACGCUUCGUCACAGGCGAAAGCGGUUUACAACCCGAAGGCCGUCAUCCCGCACGCGGCGUUGCUGCAUCAGGCUUCCGCCCAUUGUGCAAUAUUCCCCACUGCUGCCUCCCGUAGGAGUCUGGGCCGUAUCUCAGUCCCAAUGGUGGCCGGUCACCCUCUCAGGCCGGCUACCCGGUCAAAGCCUUGGUAAGCCACUACCCCACCAACAAGCUGAUAAGCCGCGAGUCCAUCCCCAACCGCCGAAACUUUCCAACCCCCACCAUGCAGCAGGAGCUCCUAUCCGGUAUUAGCCCCAGUUUCCUGAAGUUAUCCCAAAGUCAAGGGCAGGUUACUCACGUGUUACUCACCCGUUCGCCACUCGAGCACCCCACAAAAGCACGGGCCUUUCCGUUCGACUUGCACUGUCGUUAAGCACGCCGCCAGCGUCUC